GAUGAGUGAUGAAAAUAGCCUAAUCCGAGCAUCGGAAAAGACCCCUUAGUCUGCCUGAAGCAUGAUCUCUGUAGUUCUGAGA
This is a small nucleolar RNA of Budorcas taxicolor (takin), 82 nucleotides long. RefSeq annotates it as small nucleolar RNA U2-19. The transcript has a single exon. Lineage: Eukaryota; Metazoa; Chordata; Mammalia; Artiodactyla; Bovidae. The record is from RefSeq and is a predicted model, not a curated record.